CAUGCAAGUCGAGGGGAAACGACAUCGAAAGCUUGCUUUUGAUGGGCGUCGACCGGCGCACGGGUGAGUAACGCGUAUCCAACCUGCCCAUCACUUGGGGAUAACCUUGCGAAAGUAAGGCUAAUACCCAAUGACGUCUCUAGAAGACAUCUGAAAGAGAUUAAAGAUUUAUCGGUGAUGGAUGGGGAUGCGUCUGAUUAGCUUGUUGGCGGGGUAACGGCCCACCAAGGCGACGAUCAGUAGGGGUUCUGAGAGGAAGGUCCCCCACAUUGGAACUGAGACACGGUCCAAACUCCUACGGGAGGCAGCAGUGAGGAAUAUUGGUCAAUGGACGAGAGUCUGAACCAGCCAAGUAGCGUGCAGGAUGACGGCCCUAUGGGUUGUAAACUGCUUUUAUAAGGGAAUAAAGUUAGUCUCGUGAGACUUUUUGCAUGUACCUUAUGAAUAAGGACCGGCUAAUUCCGUGCCAGCAGCCGCGGUAAUACGGAAGGUCCGGGCGUUAUCCGGAUUUAUUGGGUUUAAAGGGAGCGUAGGCCGGAGAUUAAGCGUGUUGUGAAAUGUAGACGCUCAACGUCUGCACUGCAGCGCGAACUGGUUUCCUUGAGUACGCACAAAGUGGGCGGAAUUCGUGGUGUAGCGGUGAAAUGCUUAGAUAUCACGAAGAACUCCGAUUGCGAAGGCAGCUCACUGGAGCGCAACUGACGCUGAAGCUCGAAAGUGCGGGUAUCGAACAGGAUUAGAUACCCUGGUAGUCCGCACGGUAAACGAUGGAUGCCCGCUGUUGGU
This 786-nucleotide ribosomal RNA is filed under the name uncultured bacterium. RNAcentral's name for it is "bacterial SSU rRNA". It matches the Rfam family "Bacterial small subunit ribosomal RNA", at positions 54 to 827 of the family's 1533-position model. The record is from RNAcentral.